UUAAGUUCAGCGGGUAUUCCUACCUGAUCCGAGGUCAACCUUAGAAAAAUGGGGGGUUGAGACCGGGCCGGCCAACCACUUCAAUGCGUGCUGUGAAAAGCUCGUUGCAUCUAGGGUCAAACACGACACCGUCAUUAUCUUUCGGACCUGUCGACUCGCGACGACAAGGGGUCCAACGACAAGCCAGGCUUGAUGGUUGA
Molecule: unclassified non-coding RNA, 200 nt
Filed under: uncultured Chaetothyriales
Lineage: Eukaryota; Fungi; Ascomycota; Eurotiomycetes; Chaetothyriales
Description: sequence contains ITS2
Source: RNAcentral